UUUGCCAAGCCUCCCUGUUUCCUCUCAGCCUUCACCGUGUGAAUACGUUUUUUUACCGGAACUGGCAUGUACCAGUGGCAAAUCCGCCAUCCAUCGAUGCUUCCAGAUGCAUGCGGCUGGACCCCCACAAACAAACUUUCUUUUUCCACCUCUGAUUCAGGAUACGAGACCUAUACAGAUGCAAUACGAGAUGGCCCCCACGACAGAGAAAUAUCAAGCCCCCACUGUUGUUUCCUAGCCACAUCAAGCUCUCUCCUCUCUCUCUCUCUCUCUCUCUCUCUCUCUCUCGUGAGUUCCAUGCCGGUCACCGCUGCCAAUAGAUCUCGCUUUUCCAUCAACCUCCAACAGCGGAUCCGGCUUCUGUGACUGUCACCUACCACGGGGGAACAUAGGCAAGACUGGUGGCAUGGCAAUACUACGAGGCCGGCGAGGAGUGACGCCGAAUCACGCCGGCGGACGCCGGCUACGCUGUGGUGGGCGUUGGGGGGAGCUGCUCCAGCAAGGUUCCACCAUGAAGGCCACCUACCACGACGGGCCACUGCGCACUGGCGUUGCUCGAUCCGACGACUCCAAGUAGGAGUAACCGGAUCUGAUGGCCGGCCUCCCCAUGCUCCAUCAAUUUCAGGUGUUGGUAUGUUUGUGACAGAGAGCAUCGGUUAUUAUUGUGGAAUGUGUGUGAAAUACAUUGAAACAUGAUUUGAACGACAUGAUUUAUGAAUUGUGGGAUCCAGUGGAAUCAAUUGAUAUAAUUGAGAAGAUGAAUGAAUCAAUUUUUGUGUCA
This is a long non-coding RNA of Triticum aestivum (bread wheat), 781 nucleotides long. RefSeq lists it as uncharacterized. The record is from RefSeq and is a predicted model, not a curated record. Lineage: Eukaryota; Viridiplantae; Streptophyta; Magnoliopsida; Poales; Poaceae. The transcript is spliced from 2 exons.